Molecule: ribosomal RNA, 253 nt
Filed under: uncultured bacterium
Lineage: Bacteria
Description: partial 16S ribosomal RNA
Rfam family: Bacterial small subunit ribosomal RNA
Source: RNAcentral
UACGGAGGGUGCGAGCGUUGUCCGGAAUUACUGGGCGUAAAGAGCUCGUAGGUGGUUUGUCGCGUUGUUCGUGAAAACUCACAGCUCAACUGUGGGCGUGCGGGCGAUACGAGCAGACUUGAGUACUGCAGGGGAGACUGGAAUUCCUGGUGUAGCGGUGGAAUGCGCAGAUAUCAGGAGGAACACCGGUGGCGAAGGCGGGUCUCUGGGCAGUAACUGACGCUGAGGAGCGAAAGCGUGGGGAGCGAACAGG